Molecule: non-coding RNA, 322 nt
Organism: Anolis sagrei ordinatus
Lineage: Eukaryota; Metazoa; Chordata; Lepidosauria; Squamata; Anolidae
Source: RefSeq, a predicted model, not a curated record
UACUUCUCAAACUGAUAUAAAUGUUGCAGUCCAUGAAAACCCUUCCAGAAAUGACCCAGGCAGCCAAGUAACACGGGGAUCAAUCUACCUGGAGCUCUGGAAACAAUAAGCUGGAAAGAGACAAAGCUGCUGUUCCAAAACUCAUUCCACUGGUGUCUACUCACUACAGGUGAAUUGCCUAUUUCAGGAAUCCUCCAAAAAUGUUAUGUAACAGCCACAUCCUUACAUCAGACCUCUAACCUUUCAUUCAUGAUCAAACUGGCCCAACUGAAAACCAUAAAAAAAAAAGAAAAUAAAACCUCCAACCCUUUCAAGCACCAAA